RNAcentral lists this ribosomal RNA (440 nucleotides) under uncultured Porphyromonadaceae bacterium. RNAcentral's name for it is "bacterial SSU rRNA". It matches the Rfam family "Bacterial small subunit ribosomal RNA", at positions 355 to 794 of the family's 1533-position model. Lineage: Bacteria; Pseudomonadati; Bacteroidota; Bacteroidia; Bacteroidales; Porphyromonadaceae. The record is from RNAcentral.
UGAGGAAUAUUGGUCAAUGGGCGAGAGCCUGAACCAGCCAAGUCGCGUGAGGGAGGAAGGUCCUACGGAUUGUAAACCUCUUUUGCCGGGGAGCAAAGGGGCCAUUGAUGGCAGGAUGAGCGUACCCGGAGAAUAAGCAUCGGCUAACUCCGUGCCAGCAGCCGCGGUAAUACGGAGGAUGCGAGCGUUAUCCGGAUUUAUUGGGUUUAAAGGGUGCGUAGGCGGUUUGUCAAGUCAGCGGUCAAACUGCGGGGCUUAACCUCGUAUUGCCGUUGAAACUGGCUGACUAGCGUGGCGUCGAGGUGUGCGGAAUGCGUUGUGUAGCGGUGAAAUGCAUAGAUAUGACGCAGAACUCCGAUUGCGAAGGCAGCACACCGGGCGCCUACGGACGCUGAGGCACGAAAGCGUGGGUAUCGAACAGGAUUAGAUACCCUGGUAGU